Molecule: long non-coding RNA, 840 nt
Organism: Melanotaenia boesemani (Boeseman's rainbowfish)
Lineage: Eukaryota; Metazoa; Chordata; Actinopteri; Atheriniformes; Melanotaeniidae
Exons: 3
Source: RefSeq, a predicted model, not a curated record
UAUCAGCACAGCAGAGAGAAAGUCUGUACAGAGGACAAGAAAAUAGUCAACAGAUGGACCCUGCUCAGCAGUAACUUGCAAUCCUGUGAAUGCUGAAGAUCUGAUGCCAUCCGAGGUGUCCUUGGCUAGAACACAUUGGACCGUUCAUGUACUGUGCGAGGAUGGAUUCAGAGACAAGCCUGCUGUGCAGAAAGACCUUGGAAAAGCCUGAAUACGCCCACUCAUGGUUAUAACACGGCCAGUCAGCUUUUUGUCUGAAGGGGCUUUCAGCUGCUCUGUGUGUGAGUGUGUGUGGAGGAGGAAAAAAUUCAUUGUGUACAAUGGCUGCCUUACAUGAACCAUCCAACACUCCACUGAGAGACAAAACCUGCCUGCAUAACAUUUACUCACAAACAGUUGCACACAAAGAGAGAAAUGCCUCUGGCCACCUACUGUUAGCAUAUUACUGUGUAGCAGUUAAGUGGGUGGAGUUAAAUAACAUGUGGAUGCUUUAACUGGACUGAGGUGUGUGUGUGUGGACUGACCUCUUUCUCCAAUGCUUUCUCCAUGAUGAGCUGCUGGGUAUCGGCUAUGCCCUUUAGCUUCAUCCACAGGAACAUUCCUGCUGAUGGGGUGUGCCACUCUGCCACAUCUACACAUAAACACACAUUAGGAGCAAAAGAAGAAAAACUUCCUGACUCAUGAGAGGAGUUUCUUUCUUUUUUUUUUGUUUUUGUUUCCUGUAGUGAAUUUCUAGACGACACAUGCAGUCCCUUAUAUUGAACCCUUACAAGUGCAGAGGUUAUUAUAGGUGACACAAAAGGGAAAAAACCUCCAUAUUUGCUAAGAUGUAUGCUUUGU